RNAcentral lists this ribosomal RNA (439 nucleotides) under uncultured bacterium. RNAcentral describes it as "partial 16S ribosomal RNA". It matches the Rfam family "Bacterial small subunit ribosomal RNA", at positions 339 to 795 of the family's 1533-position model. The record is from RNAcentral.
CUACGGGUUGCUGCAGUGGGGAAUAUUGCACAAUGGAGGAAACUCUGAUGCAGCAACGCCGCGUGGAGGAUGACACUUUUCGGAGCGUAAACUCCUUUUAUAUAGGAAGAAGAUGACGGUACUAUAUGAAUAAGCGCCGGCUAACUCCGUGCCAGCAGCCGCGGUAAUACGGAGGGCGCAAGCGUUACUCGGAAUCACUGGGCGUAAAGAGCGUGUAGGCGGAUUAAAAAGUCAGAAGUGAAAUCCUAUAGCUUAACUAUAGAACUGCUUCUGAAACUCUUAAUCUAGAAUAUGGGAGAGGUAGAUGGAAUUUCUGGUGUAGGGGUAAAACCCGUAGAGAUCAGAAGGAAUACCGAUUGCGAAGGCGAUCUACUAGAACAUUAUUGACGCUGAGACGCGAAAGCGUGGGGAGCGAACAGGAUUAGAUACCCUCGUAGUC